AAAGAAACGAAGAAAGGGAGGAGGGAAACGGGAGAUCAGAGAGGUGGAGAGGGGAAGAGAAAGGACGGCGCCGGUGGGCAUCACUGCCGCCGCGCCGUCGUGUUGCCGUCGAACGAGAGGAAGCCGUGGACCAUAGUCACGGGCGGAAGAGAAAGCGCGAGCCAGGGCACGCGAGACGGAGCCGCAACUGCUGGGUUGCCGUCCAGCCUCGCCCCACCUUCCAGCCUUCAUCACCACCGCGUCCACGCCGUGCUGCC
Molecule: long non-coding RNA, 257 nt
Filed under: Arachis ipaensis
Lineage: Eukaryota; Viridiplantae; Streptophyta; Magnoliopsida; Fabales; Fabaceae
Description: long non-coding RNA (AIPA_LNC002452)
Source: RNAcentral